Molecule: long non-coding RNA, 24294 nt
Filed under: Glycine max (soybean)
Lineage: Eukaryota; Viridiplantae; Streptophyta; Magnoliopsida; Fabales; Fabaceae
Description: long non-coding RNA (GMAX_LNC003652)
Source: RNAcentral
UCUCCCCCAUCCUUCUGUGUCAGGAAAAUAAAAUUGAGAAAAAAAAGGGUUCUGGGUAGUAUAGUCAGAAAAAUCUAUAAAUAGGAGCUCUUCUUUUCUUUAUUUUCCCGAUCCACUCGUUCAAUAGUGGACUUUGAUUCAACAUAAAGACGGCUUAGGGAUAAAAAAGUUAGAGAAGUUUGAACAGUGGUAGAAAAUGUUGUUACCAAAAAAGGAAGUAGCAGGAUGUGUUUUAGGCAACUAAAGUCUCCCUAACCCUAGUUUUUAUAAAUGUUCAUCCUAGUCUGGAGAUUAAAUUCAGAUUCCAUAUGACCACUAUACAAUUAAUUAAGCCCGCUUAGCUUUAAACCAUUCUCAAGAAAUGGAUAUACUGGUCUUUUGGUGUUUUUUCUUCAUAGUUUUAUUUACUUCCAAUUUAAACUUAUAUUCAUGAGGUGCAUAAUAUCUACAGGAUUCUCUUUUUUACAAUAUUCAGAACGUAAUCAAUUAUAUUGUACUGUAUCUUGAUUUACAUGUUAGCUUAAACAUUUUGUACUCAUGAACUAAUUAAAGUAACUUUCGUACUCUCUUCAAUGAAUUAUUUCCUUGUUGCUGAUACAAAAAUUAAAGACUAUAAUCAAUCAUAAGUACUUAUUCCAAUAUCUGAGAGUAUCUCACCAAUUUGUUUAAACUUAUUUGUUGAAAAAAAAAUAUUUAUUUUAAUAAAAGAGGCCACUUUUGAUUUUAUUGUACGUGUUUGAUUCUUAAUUGGUAUAAGUGCAGUGAAGAUCAUGGCCUCAUCUAGCUACUCUAACUCUCGAUCCAAUGAAAUUAUUUCCUAGUUGCUGCCUAUAAAAAUUAAAGACUAUAAUCAAUCAUAAGUACUUAUUCCAACGUUUCUGAGAGUAUCGCGUCAAUUUAUUUAAAUAUUUAUUGAAAAAAAAUACUUAUUUUAGUUGUACGUGUUUGAUUCUUAAUUGGCAUUACUGCAGUGAAGAUCAUGGCCUCAUCUAGCUACUCUAACUCUCCCUGUGCUGCCUGCAAGUUCCUGAGAAGGAAAUGCAUGCCGGAUUGCAUUUUCGCGCCAUAUUUCCCACCAGAAGAGCCUCAGAAAUUCGCCAAUGUGCACAAGAUAUUCGGUGCAAGCAACGUGAGCAAGCUUCUGAAUGAGGUGCAGCCUCAUCAGAGAGAGGAUGCAGUGAAUUCUCUGGCCUAUGAAGCCGAGGCAAGGAUAAAGGAUCCAGUUUAUGGGUGUGUUGGGGCAAUCUCAGUGCUCCAAAGGCAAGUGAUUAGGCUCCAGAAGGAACUUGAUGCCACAAGUGCUGAUUUGAUUCGUUAUACUUGCAAUGAAAUGCCAACUACUACUCAAGAUGGUAGAAGGAUUAUUGGUGAAGGGGGUGGUUCUUCUCUUGGUCAAUCUUCUGGUUACUAUUACCCUUCUCCUUGGAACAAUGAUACACUUGGAGAUGGUUAUCACAGAGGUGACAAUAUAUAAUAUAGUAUAUAUGUGAUUUUAAUUUCAACCUUGUUAAGUAUGAAAUGAAAUUUAUCCUACUAUUAGUUAAGGAGUUAUAAAUAUAUCCCUUUAGGGUUUCUUAAUUAUUGUAUAGUAUUUGAGAUGAAGGGGUGGUAUAGUCAUAGUGUGGUGGGUCGGGGGGGAUGUGAAUAAAUAUUGUGUGUAGUAAUUGUGAGGGUGCCCUUCAUAUUUCAUAAAAUGAAGUGUCUCUUGUUAUAAAUGUAACUGAACUUGUACGUCUCUAAUUAGCAGUCUCAUAAAUGAAAAUUUCGUUUCAUAACAAAACUCAAUUGUCUGGUGAUUUCUCGUAGGAAGGGAAAUUGUAUUUGUUCAUAUUAAUAAAUGAUUUUCUCAUGUCACAAACAUAUAACAUACUUAUAUAUAAUAUUGUGUUACACGUACUACUCCUUAAGCUCUAACAAUAAUAAUAAGUCAUUCUUACAAAUAUUGGAUCAAUCUCCAUACAAAUACUAUAAAAACAAUAUGCUCGAAUCAAGACAACAUAAAAUUUACCCUGUAACAUCCAAAUAGAAAAAAGAAAUAAACGAUUAAAAUGUUUUACUAUUUCCGAAUUCCGAAUUACUUUGCAACACAUAUAUUAAUUAUAUAUAUGCUCAUCUUUGAGACCACCAAAUUCAGACUAUAUUUUUUCCCUUUUCUUUUUGAUGAGAAACCUAGCUAGGAAAGAUAUCCGAAGUGGCCCCCACGUAUAGCACUCCGAACUGACUAUCAUUAUGAAUUGUAAGAAAUUGGUAGCUAAACAAAAUCAUAUUAUUGGUCUAUUUUUUUUUUACUAAAAUUAGUCGAGUAUGUUGAUACCAACUGGUUGGGUUCUAACAGAAGAAAUUAACCCCUUUAUAAUAUGAUAAAUCAAAUUUAAUUAAAUUUUCGUUUGAAAAAUAUUCGUUUUUAUUUUCCGACCAUGUUUCAAACAUGCUUAAUUUCGAAGAAGAUUAAUACUGUAGAAAACAAAAACAAAAAAAACUAUUCAUUUGGAUCUUCUAUAUAUAAUAAUAAUAAAAAAAACUAGUUGGAACCUACCUUUUCGCAUGAACUUCCUCUUUCUAUGUACUAUCACUUAGAUAUUAUGGAGUAAUAUAUAUUACUCGGUGCAUAAGGACUUGAGAGUUGAGAAGGCCAUGAUCUGAGAACGGCCUUUGCAAAACACCAAGCUAUCUUCACAAACAUACGUAACGCGUUACUUUUGAUGUUCAAUUAUCUAUUUAUAAUAGCUGUGUAAUAAUAGCACGCAGUUCAAAUCGCCAAAAAGAGAAGACAGAUUACCUCUUAUCCCGGUGUGCUUCACUUUUUCAAUUCAUCAUAAGUUAAAAAAAGCCUUAUUAAUGUGAGCAAAUGGGAGAGGGCUAUGGCAUUUUUUUCAGCGUAUAAUUCUCCCUCCAACAUAUGUGAUGAUGGUCAUAGGAAGAGGACUGGAAACUGUUAAUUUGUUGACUUUAUGGUUUAUGCAUUUUGAUUGAUUAUUGUAUUUGUUACAUGAAGAAAGAAUAUAUAUUAUUAUUAGAGAAAAUGAGAUAUACACUGAUAGGGGAAAGUUUUAUGCAGUUAUAUAUAAUUAUAAUUCAUUAUAUAUGAUAAAUUUAUUAACUUUUAAAUAAUUAUUUUAAAAUAAUUUAAAGAUGAUUUAUGAUUAAAUAAUAAUAUAAAACUGUUUUAAACUAUCCAUAGACAUUAAAAUAUUAUUAUUAUUUGUGAUGUUUCCGUGAUUGCAUUUCCAUGUCCUCUCUUCAUUAGAACAUUAUGAUUAUGAUGAGUAUCAAGCAUAAGUGGUACUGGUACUGGUGCCUAGGGAUGGAGGAUAUAUAUUCCCACACCAAAGGGAUUGUUCUGUUCAAUGACAUGUGAUCAUAAGGGUACAUAAUACAUUGAACCUUUAGACAAGUAAAUAUGCAUGAUGCGGAUAAAACGGGGCAUUUUCUUCACCCCCUUCUCUCGCGCUGAGCCAUGCGAAUAAUAAUAUUCUAGUUAUUGCUCAGUCUUCUGGAUCACAUUAAUAACCCUAUUCAUUCUUCUGCUCUAUAGCCUAAACUAUAUAUAUAACACCUUUGUGUUAAUAAUUCCCUUCAACCAUUCAUUCUUGUGCAGUUAUAUAUACGAACUUGUGGAUUGCAAUUCACCACCCCAUUUGCUAAUCAAGUUUAAUAACUUAUAAGUGAUAGGUUCAAUUCAUUGGUAGCAGAAACUAUACUAAUUAUAUAUAUGGAGGUACGUAGCAUUAUUAAUUACUUUAACAAAUGAAUGCAUAUAUCUUCAUCUUUCUAUAUAUACUAGCUAGCUUCCUGAUAUUAAGAUAUGCAUUCAUAUAAAUACAAAAAAUAAAUAAAUUAAAAGUAAAGAUUGAGAUUCACUAUCCUUUUGGUGGGUUUUCUGGGGCCUUUAUUAUCUCGUUCUAAAUUCUAAUUAAUAAUGGCUUUUGUGUUCUGUACCUUUGUCUUUAAUUUUAAUUUUGUGAAUGUGUUUGCAACCUUCUGUGGUUAGGAUCAAUAUGUUCGGACACAUAUAUACUAAUUCUUCUAUUAUUUAGUCAAAAGUAGGUCACCAGUGCUGGAAUGAAAUAAUACAAUGAAAAUUCCAUAUAACAUUAUACGAAGUUAGGUAAUUGAAUGUUGACACUACUACAAAAGUUAUAUACUACGACGUGCUAACAAGGACGGUCCACAGAAAACGGCAUAGAAUCUUUAGAUUGGAAGUUCAAGGACGGUUAUUUUGAAAAUCCGUCUUUGAAUUGUUAUAUUUUUUUAUCUCUUUUAUCUUAUCUUCUCGGAUACACUGUUGACCCUUCAUUUUUCAUUGACCCUUCAUUUUCCUCUCUCAUUGUUGCCUUGUAUUUCCCUUUCUUUUUGUCAUUUUCUCUCUUUGGCAGAGGACGACAUGGGUGGAUGUGGACCACGAGCUUCACUCCAAUGACCUCACCACCUCACGUGCCACCGUCUGAGUGUCAUCUCCCUCAUCUUCGCGAGCAGCUCUGGGUGCAAUUCGAGCAACACCACCGCCCACACAAGCGACGAAGUGGAUGCGUCCUGCGUCGCGAAGAGGAAGUCAAAGAGGUAGCCACUGAUCUCGGCGUCGAUGGAGAUCGGCUGCGGCGUGUCUCCGGCGAGCUUGGCCUCCUUGAUUUCACUGAGCGUGUCUUGCUCCCUAGGCAGUCGAGCCUCCAAUUCUCCAAUGAAGCGAGACACUGGUGCCGGCGGCGACGAUUCCUCCCCUCUCAUUCCCAACAACCACCUCGUCGACGACGAUUCCUCUCUCAUUGGAUGAGUGUCGAUCGUGCUCUUCGUCGUCGGCGAGGUGGUUGUCGGAAUGAGAGGGAGANNNNNNNNNNNNNNNNNNNNNNNNNNNNNNNNNNNNNNNNNNNNNNNNNNNNNNNNNNNNNNNNNNNNNNNNNNNNNNNNNNNNNNNNNNNNNNNNNNNNNNNNNNNNNNNNNNNNNNNNNNNNNNNNNNNNNNNNNNNNNNNNNNNNNNNNNNNNNNNNNNNNNNNNNNNNNNNNNNNNNNNNNNNNNNNNNNNNNNNNNNNNNNNNNNNNNNNNNNNNNNNNNNNNNNNNNNNNNNNNNNNNNNNNNNNNNNNNNNNNNNNNNNNNNNNNNNNNNNNNNNNNNNNNNNNNNNNNNNNNNNNNNNNNNNNNNNNNNNNNNNNNNNNNNNNNNNNNNNNNNNNNNNNNNNNNNNNNNNNNNNNNNNNNNNNNNNNNNNNNNNNNNNNNNNNNNNNNNNNNNNNNNNNNNNNNNNNNNNNNNNNNNNNNNNNNNNNNNNNNNNNNNUCAAAGGAGGCCAAGCUCGUAGAAGACACGGCGACGCCGAUCUACCGUGGACGGCGAGCUCCAGGUGGCUACCUCUUCGACCUCCUCUUCACGGCGCAGGACGCAUCCACUUCGUCGCUUGUGUGGGCGGUGGUGUUGCUCGAAUUGCACCCAGAGCUGCUCGCGAAGAUGAGAGAGAUGACACUCAGACGAUGGCACGUGAGGUGGUGAAGGUCAUUGGAGUAAAGCUCGUGGUCCCACAUCCACCCAUGUCGUCCUCUGCCAAAGAGAGAAAAUGACAAAAAGAAAGGGAAAUACAAGGCAACAAUGAGAGAGGAAAAUGAAAGGUCAGUGAAAAAUGAAGGGUCAGCAGUGUAUCCGAGAAGAUAAGAUAAGAGAGAUAAAAAAAUAUAACAAUUCAAAGAUCGAUUUUCAAAAUAACCAUCCUUGAACUUCCAAUCUAAAGAUUCUAUGCCGUUUUCUAUAGACCGUCCUUGUUAGUACGUCUUAGUAUAUGACUUUUUGUAGUAGUGACUUGUAUUACAACUUUCAAUUCUUAAAUUAAAUCUAACUUAUCAAUAUGCAUGCAUGGCUUUAGUCUGUUCCAACAUGUAUAAUAUAAAAAAGACAAAAAAUGUAUUUUAAAUAGGAUUAUAAAAGGACAGAAAACAUCACCAGUAAAAGAUUAAAAAAGGCACGUAGCUACAUUAAUUAUAUUAGGAGGGAGAAUGAUAUGACAUACCUACUUUUUACAAAGAAAAUGUUUACUCCUAAUUUUAAUUGCCUAGAAGUUAGUUAGUAAUUUUUUCUUAUAUAUGCAUUUUGUUAAAAUAGUAUAUAUAUAUAUAUAUAUAUAUAUAUAUAUAUAUAUAUAUAUAUAUAUAUAUAUAUAUAUAUAUAUAUAUAUAUUAGCAUUUAGUAAUAUUUUUGGUGCCUAUAGUAACAUUUAGUCACCUCAUAACAAUGAAGAAAAUUUUCACAUUUUCGUUUAAAAUUAAAAACAAUUGUUUAUUUUUAUAAUUUUAUAACUAACACUAACAUUUACUAAUAUUUUAAAAAUAUAGUAUUUCUUAAAAUAAAUUGUGAUGAAGUAUUAAUUAUUUUUAAAUUUUAGACUUAAUUUAUUUAAUAAAAACUUUUCAUCUCACAGUUAAACUAGUGAGAUUUUAUAUUCAUGAAAGUUUGUUAAAUAUAAUGAAUUUUACAGCACUUGUUUCUGAUAUAAGUAGAUAGAUAUCCAUUUUUGAAAACAUAUAUUAUAUUUUUCGCCAGGAAUGUAUUACAGUUUAUAAAGUCAUCUUUUUUUUUCUAUCUUCAAAAUUAUUAUUCCGAAUUAGCAGAACAUAAAAAGAUCUGAUCACACCCCCUGAUAGGUAGGAAGUUUCCGGCUUUAAAUAUUUAUUGAGACAAGAUAAAUGUAAGUGCUGUGCUUGUAANNNNNNNNNNNNNNNNNNNNNNNNNNNNNNNNNNNNNNNNNNNNNNNNNNNNNNNNNNNNNNNNNNNNNNNNNNNNNNNNNNNNNNNNNNNNNNNNNNNNGCAAUUCGAAAAUAACUAUAACCCUUGCUAAGCAGCAUUCUUUGUAAUUCUUAUACCAAUUUUCACCCUUAUUACUCCCUUCUAUUAUAUGUUUAUUAUUUCAGCCCAUUUAAACAUGUCAUUAGAUUUAUCAUGAAAUAGUUUUAGUAAUUAAAAAAAUCAAAAGUGAGAAUGAGAAGAUGUUAUUGAAAGAAAGGUUAGUAUAAGAAGACAUAAAACUAGGAUCAAUAUAGCUAUUAAAAAAUUAAAAAAAUUAUAUUGAUUUUACUUUUUUCAUUUAAAUCUCAUCAUUUUUUUUUUAUUUUUUUACUAACUAAUGUAAUUUUAAUGUAUUUUUAAAAAUUCAUAGAGUCCUUUCCCAUCUUAUAAAUCUAUAAAAUUAUUUCAAAUCCUUUAAAUUCUUAUAAUAUAAACCAAUAUAUCCCUAAGUAAAAAGUUGUAUAAAAAUUAACUAAAAUAAAAAGUAAAUGUUUUGUAAGUAUGAAAAAUACAUUCAAGGUUUUCUAACAAAAAGUACGUAUGAAUUAUUUUAUUUCAAAAUUUACAUGACUUCCAACAAAAAAUUAUUUCAUUUGAGAAUAUUUAUAAAUCAAUUAUCAAAACUGUGUUUUUUCUUAUAUUAGAGGAGUAUCUUUGAAUCACACACGAACACAACAAAUCCAAAGCAUUGUUCACUGGGCGACAAAAUGUGUGGAAAUGAUGUUCAUUCACUCUCAAAAACUAAUGGGCCACCCUUCCAUCACAAUGACUUGGUCACUUUAGUUUUCAGAGAUUUUCUUUUUACAUAUAUAACAUUAAAUUUUUUUAAUGUAUACAUAUAAAUUUAUAUAAUAAAUUUUAUAAUAAUUAAUUUUAAUUUAAUAAUAUAUUUUAUAUAUAUAUAAAUUUUUAUAAAAUUUAAAAUUUAUAUAUAUAAAAAAUAUAUUAUUAUAUCAAAAUUUAUUAUGUAAACUUAUAUAUAUAUAUUAGAAAUUUUAGUGUUAUAUAUAAUAAUAUUAAUUAUUUUUUAAUACAAUUAACUUAUUAGUUUGAUUGACUACAAUAUGGUAUUAAUAACACAAAAGUUUACAUGAAUUAUUAAUUUUAAAUUAUCUUAUAAAAUAUAUUUUAAUUGAAUGCAGAAUAUGGGUCUUAGGCAUAAGGAAGAAAAUUCCUAGUUUUGAUUGAUUGACGAGACAAAUGAUAUGCCCAAAAUUAAAGCCCGGUGAGUGAACUCAGGCACAUGCCAGGGGAGCAAAAAAGUCUUGAAAAUUGCUUUGCACACCUAACAAAUUGUUUGUGCACCUAACACGUUUUGAGUUUUUCCAAAAUUACCCCUAACAAAUUUAUGGAUCCGUAAUCUGUAUGAACCCAUUAUGGAUUCACAGUCCCUAUGAACCCAUAUAGAUUGAAAAAACAGGAUUCCAACUAGUGACUUUUAGGUUAUUAACAUGAAUUAAUUUUUCAGGUUAUAUGUGAAUUAAAAAAAUAUGUGUUACGAAUUAAUUUAAAAUUAAUAAUCCAUGCAUGCAAGAUUUGAACAUGUGACUUUCAGGUUUGAAUCCUGCUUUAUCAAUCCGUAUGGGUCCAUAUGAAUUACGAAUUCGUAAUGGGUCCAUACAGAUUACGGAUCCAUAAAUUUGCCCAAGGAUAAUUUUGAAAAAAAAUGGAAAAAACACUAUGUACACAAGCAAUUUACAAAUCAAUUCCCAAAAGUCUUUAUUCCUGGCUCAUUGAUUCAAUUCUAAUAAAUUCUUUUUGUAUUUUUUUAGAGGAAGAAUUUAUUCUCCUAAGAAUCAUGAUUACCAUUAGAUGUACAUAUACGGGAUUUAUACAAUUUUUAAAAGCUAAAUAUGAAAUUGAAUAAUAUGAUGUAUUUCUCGGAGGGAAAAACUUCCCCGAAUAUAUAAGUAAGAAAUUCUCAAUUUAUAAUGCUAAUUGAGUGACACAGCAUAUAUAGGCAAAUUAGGAGGAUUUUUUUUUCUUGGCAUAAUUAACAUAACUAGCUAAUCAAUUGGGUAUAUAUAUAUAAAGAUACACCCAAUUGAGAAAUUGGGUUAAUAGAUUACAUUUUCACAUAUACCUAAUAUUUUUUUUAAUUCAAAAUUUCAAUACAAAGUAACUACAAUAAUUCAUACACUGGACACAACUCAACUAAUUAAGUAAUCAACUAACUAAGACCCUUUUAAUACAUAGACCCAAUAUUACUUAUAUAAAAUUGAGUUAGUGGAUUCUUUAAGCAUUUUUUUCUGCAUUUGAAAUAAAUAAUUAUGAAUACCAAGUCAUGUAUUUGAUUAAAUUAAAAUAUUUUUCAAGUAAUGCCUUUCUGAAAUUAAUAUUAAGAAAACUACAAAACUUGAAUAUAUUUUUUUUUAGAACAAAACUUGAAUAUUCAUUUCAUAACAAAAACAUAUUUAUUUCAAUUAUCGAUCAAUGAAUAUUUCAGUCAUUAUUAUUUUUAUAAAAAUAAUGAGUAGCCAGCAAUGAUAUUCCUAUAACAUUUUAGUAAAGUUAGUUUCAUUGUUCAAAGUCUUUUGAUUAAUUUAACAAGGUUAAAAUUUGCAGAUGUCCUAACCAAAAUUAGAGUAAUGUGAAGAAUCCGAUCAUACCAGAUGAUAGUGAUAUCAUGUAAAAUUGAAAAUGGUAGAAAACCUCAAUUUAGUUCUCUAAAGUUCUAGAUGUAAGCAAUAUAUAUGUUUAGUUUUUUCGUUAUCUACAAAGAUACAAUUUAUUAAUAUAUAUCAACCCUGCAUAAGAUAUGCAUGAGCUAGCUAACAAAUCAAGAGUUUUUUAUCCCAAAAAUACAAAACAAAUAAAAAAAUUACACAAAUAAUAUAAGCAUCGAAUUAUUUAUCAAAGUGAUAUACAAAUUAGUGUUGCCUUUGAAAAUUCAGUGCCCCCCCAAUCGCAUUUCUCAUUGUCCCACCUUUAACUUUUUGCUUCACAACAUUGGAAAAAACCGAUUACCUACAAACUGAUUUUUCAAUGUGCCAUUGCAUUUUUUUUAAUUGUAUAUUUCUUUAUUUUGUUUUUGAAAUUUUUUUCUUCUUUUCAGAGCUUUUUAUUUCUUUUUAAUUUCCAAUUUUAUGAUUUAAUUUUCUUUUAAAAAAAUAUUAAUUUUAGAAAUUAGUUAAUUCCUUUAAACUUUUCAUGGAGGCCGGUGACUAUUUGUGUCAUUUUAUCUAUGUUUAUGAUGUUUUAUGGGUCAAACAAUAGUUUAGUCCCAUAAAUUUCAAGUACAUGAAUCCGAUGGUACAAGUUUAACAUAUUGAAUCAAAAUAUUAAUGCUUCAAAAUUAUGUUUAAAAAUGCAAAAAAAAAAAAAAAAACUAAAGAUCAUCCUAUAUAUUCAUCGAAAUGAAUAUGAAGGAACUAGAUUAGCCAAAAAGAUGUUUCAUAUGUCGCACAAUCCAUGCCAUUCUAAAAACAAAUGUCCUACCUUGUUAAAAACGCAAGCUCAAACCAACAACAUUAUUAAGUCAAAAGAUAUUUAUAUCUUAAGACGAACUAGUACUACUAAUAUUUUGAUUAAAUGUAAAUAUAUAUGUACAAAUGUUAAAAGUUAUGUUUUAAGUGAUAUCAUAACAUGUUUCGUGAGUCUGCGUCUCAGGUAUCAGAUAAUAGUUAGUUAAAGACAUUAUUUGAUACAACAUUUAAAAGAUGACAAUUAAGACUUUAUUUAAUACUUUGUGUUAAGAUUUGUUUUGAAGAGACAUUCUCUUAAGAUAUGUCGAAUUCUAUGAAAAAUAAAUGAAAUUCAAGAUUUGAAAGUUGCCCAUUGUCAUCAAUAGGCGCGCUUUGCUGUGCAGACCUGGUUUGGUUAAAGGGAAGUGAUUUUCUUUUGAAGUGUUCUACACAAAAAUCAAUCAGAGUGGUUUCACUACAUGAGGAAGAACAUGCAUUUAAAUACUCCAAUGACCAUACAUAUCAGACAAAUGCUUAAGUAAAGAAAUUCAUUUGUUGUAAGACAAUGAACACUUUAAGAUGAAGGCCUAUAAAUAUCAUAAGCUUUGAAAAAAUGAGUCACAAACCUUACACACAUUUAUUGAAAUUCUUUAUGUAAAGAAUUAUCUGUAAAAUUUUGUAAAUCUUAGAAAACUCUCAAAACACGUUAAACAUUUUGAGAAAAUAGACUAAGAGCUGAGAUUGUAUAUUUGUUUAUAAGACACUUAAAAAGUUAGUCAUUAUGCAAACACAACAACAAAUCUUUCUGAUAGCUAACAGAGUCAUUGCACAAACACAACAGCAAAUCUUUUUUAAUCUGAAUUAAAGUUGUGAAUUAAAUACAAAUUUUAUUAACAAAUUAAUUUUAAUUUUUUAGAGAAAUAUUAAAAUAUUUUUAAAAUAUGAAAAUCCACUCUAGAAAAUAAUGAGAAAAAAUGAAAAAAAUAAAAUAUAUACAAUUAAAUUAAAAAAAUAAAAAAAAUAUAAAUGGCACGUUGGAAAACUAAUGUAAAAAAAAAUUAAAAUAAAAAAAAUAUAGAAUUAAAAAAAUGAAAUGAAAAAAAAAAUAUGUUGAAAAAUCGGUGCAUGCAAAACCGAUUUUUCAUUGAAAGCAAACACGAAUUUGGGGAUGACCGAUUUCUCUCGUAGAAUAUUGAUUUGUAUGUAAAUAUUUUAGUAUAUGUAUUAGUUAUGUAACUUUUUUUUUUUUUUUUUUGUAUUUUUGGGUAAAAAGACUCACAAAUCAAUGGAACUUUUUACGUACAACAGUAUUUAACCGCCUCUCACCCUUACAAAAACACGAAAAACUAAUUGAAAUUUGAAAAAAUAGCUUUUUUUUUUAUUAGAGUUAGAGAAUGUAGUUGAUAGUUAUUGAUUAUUAAGUAUUUUGGUAAAUUUAUUUGUUAGAGUUAUUAAUAAAUAUAAAAUAGAAUAAACACGUUUAUGUAAAAAUUGUUUAUAAAUUUUAAUUUAAUUUUAUUAAUAAAUAUAUGUUCAAAGUAUUUAUAAUUUUACCUUUUAAAUUAAUUUUAAACUCUUACAAUUUUUUAUUUUAAAUUAAUUAUUUUAAUUUUAUUUUGUUAUUUCGUAUUGUGUAUUCUACUGCUAACUUAUUUAUAUUAUAUCUUAAAAUAUUUUAAAUCAAGUUUAAAAUAACGUAUUUGUGCCUUUUGAUAAAGGGAUACACAUCGUUACUACUUAUACUAAUUGUUACUAAUUGUUGUUGGUUGUAAAAAUAAAAUAUACUUACUUAAGUAUAUGUCAUAUUUUUUAUUAUAUUUUGUGCAAUAGUUAAAAUAUAUUGAAGUAUAUAAUGUUAAAAUAAAAAUAUAAAUAGUGUAAUGGUUAAAAUAAAUAAUAUAUCAUAAAAUUAAAAACCUACCUUAUUAGUAAGUUAUGUUACUUAUGUUGAGGCUCCAUUCCUUGCAAGAUUCUCAAGCCAACUUUCAAUUUGCAUCCUUACUGGUGAUCUUUGUCUUUUCACUCUUUUGUGUUGCUGUCACUUUCUCCAACCAAUGUCUUUGUUGAUUGAGGAUUCAGCUCUAGAGAACUAUCUUGUAGCUAAUAUACAGAGGCUUAUAUUGAAGGAUAUACUUAAUACACAUUCUUCCUGGUAAGACUUUAGCUAGCAACGUCAUUAAAUACCUUUUUAUUCAUCGGACAAUGUUUACUCGUUAAAAUUUAUUGAUGCACAAAUAACUCAAACCGUUGAUAUAAUUAGCAUUAAAAUUAAAUUAUUUAAUGGGUGAAAUUAGUGAGUCAUAACCCUUUAAAAUAUUUUUUGUUAAUUUCAAAUUAAGGCUAGUCCUUUCGAGAGUUUUUUUUAUUGACCAUGAUAUUAAUACAAAGUAUGUUAUUUUAAAAUAAAUAUCAACUUUACACUCGAUAAGUCAACAUUGUCUCUUUGAGACAAUAUCAAUUCGGAGACAACUCGAGAACAACAAUCAAUAAAUAUCAACCUUUAUAUGUUAUGAACAUGUGGCACAAAAUAUAGACAUAUGAUCAAGAUCAACCUAAAGAUUAUAAGCAGGCUACAAACUCAAGAAGCUGACUCAAGUAAGAAGUACCCUAGUGGCAAACCAACUUUGGACAAGUUUGACGUAACCUUCAGAAUAGGACAAUUAACGCACAUACUUGUAAUAAGACAUGUGGCCGAUAACGUCAUGCAUGCAAACACUAUAAAUAGCUUGACAUUCUAUAAUCAUAAAUGAAGGAGACGUCAUAACUCAAUACUACAAGAAUUCUAAGAUCUUUCUCUCCAAAACUCUCUCUAGUUUAUCUCUCUAACUUUCUCUCUCUCUCAACCGAGUUCACACUGCAUAAACCAAAUCGCACUUUGUCCUACACCAUAACAAUGUUGUUGUCUGUGGGAAACAUAUAUUCUCUAGGAUAAAAGGAUCCAUAGUUCAUGGAUCUUUGUUAUGGUGAGCACCCGAAACAAAAAAGCUUCAACGACAACAACAACUUCUUCACCUGUGAUUGAAGCCACAAAUUCUCCAAGGAUGGAGGAGAAUGUAGCAUUCAUGAGCGCGCAAUUGACUGAGCUUGUUGAGAUGCUCAAACAACAAAAAGUAGUGCUUGAAGAACAACAUAAAGUGAUUGCAGAUCUACGAAUAGAAAAUGAUGAUGUACAAAAUGAACACUCAAAGUCAGUAGAAGACAAAUGAGAUUAAUAGGCAAAGAAAAAUAGUGUAAAAAAGGAAUCGACCAAAUCAAAAUUUCAAAUCCCAUUGAAAUCCAUAAAAAAGAGGAUCUUUGAUUACUAUUGUAACGAAUAUGGAACAAAAGGUGGAUUUUGAUGAAGUUAUUCCUUUGAUGACAAUUGCUAUCAUACAAGUGCAUCCGUCAAAUUGCUAUCAUACUUGUGUAGUGGUUGUAUAUGUAUUUUCAUUUGAUGACAAUUAUGUCACAUCAACAUUUUCAUUAAAUAUUAGAUGUCAAAUUAACAGGCAAACCAAAGUUUCUCAAUUAAAAUAGUGAGGGGUCAAAUUCGCAAAAAAAUAAUAAUAAUGAAGGGAUCAAAUUCAAUUAAUUACAAUAAUAAUGGGACCAAAAGUGAAAUUAAGCCUAAACAUUGCCAUUUUUUGAAAACUUUCUAGCUCAUUCAAUCAUAUUUAUGUUUUUUUUAUCAUAACUUAGUACUUUGAUGGCCUUUGACUCAACACAAAGAAAUGAAGAAAUUACAAUAAUGAAAAACCUAAAGGGUGUUACCUUUUUUUCCAUCCUUAUGUUACUAGAUUAUGGAAAACUAGACAAAUAAGAAUAUCUGAGUUAACUGCGUGAAAACUAAAACUUAAGCAUCACAAGAACAAAAGUUAUACAAAGCCUUUAACACUUAUGUGCCUUAAAAACCUGACCAAGGUACGUAAAACAUAAAACCAAUUCUCAUACAUUGGGAGAUACAAACUCUACCAAUCUUCUUUCAUGCAAACAACUCCAUGCUCUAAGGUUCUCCUAUGAGAAUGCCCACCUACUUAACCUGUAAAAAUAUGAAGUUUAAAGAAACAAAGCAUAAUGUUUCAGUAAGUGCUCUAAGGACUUUAGGUUGAAUCUCUAUUCUAGAAAUCAUUUUCUUAACUCUCAUGGUUUCUCAUUUUCUUUUCUUAAGAACUCUAUCUCACAACUAUUAUCCCAUCUCAUUAUCAUUUCUAUCUCCUUGGGCCAUGCCUUUGUUGGAGUUAGCCCUAACAGCCAAUCCAUUUCAGACUAUAUUUGUAUCGUGACUUUGGUUUAUACAUUUUUGUAAAUAAAUGAGGUGUGUCAAUUAUUAUGUUAUUAAUUGUAUAGCGUAAUAAUGUCCUAAGAAUAAAUUAUUCAUUUAAUGGCAAAUCAAGAGACUUGAUUGUGAGAUUCAUUGAACAAUCAAAUGGUGUUCUAAAAGUAUUCAUAGUCAAGUAUUAUUGAUGACUAGAAUGACAAUAAUGCAUUGAGGCUAUGCAUCUCACAGGUCAUGGACAUGAGAUAUCAAGUCGGCACGGGUAUAAAUAUUAGAAGUAAUAUUUAUACUAGAUAGAUCCACCAUGAGAAGUCUUCAUAAUAGUUAUGUAAGUGUCAUAAGUAUUUCUCAUGGCAACCAUCCUUUGACAUGAAGUCACUACGAUUCCUAUAUGUUUGGAGUUACAGGCUUUAAUGUUAUCAAACGUCAUCCGUAAAAGGGUAUCAUAAAGGUAGUACUUGGGCUUACAAUGAAUCAAGUGGAGGAAUAUGAGUAAUAUAGAUAGGAUUCCCUUUCUACAUAGUACACGUUAUGUCUAUAGGCCUCUUGAUAGAGUGGCAUGCGCUAUACGCAUGGCCACAUGCAAUGUAGAUAGGAUUCGUCCCUUUUACAUAACAAAGGUUAUGUUUGUAAGCCUCUCGAUAGAGUGGGACAUGCUAUAUGCAUGGCCACGCAGAAAUGAACCAAUAUGCGAUGUUGGACCUGUUUGUAUUUACGCGCCCCCACUCAGGUAUCGAGAAAUCGAUAAUUGGACUUAACGAGGAUGACACUCUUAUGCAUCAUGUUUGAUCAAGACAUUUGUACGAAUGGACAAAGGCUACAUGGUGGAAAUGAUUACGAUAAGGUUGAAAUCGAAUCAUCAAUUUUCUCAUGAGCUAGGUGGUAGCGAUACAUUGCUAAAUGUCAAUAAUUGUCUAUGAUAUUAUAAGAUAAUAUUAUUUCCAAUUUAGUGGGAGCUUAUAAGGUCAGACACAUAGAUUAAUAAAUUGGAGCAGACAAUUAAAAUAAAUGUGAUUUAUUUUAAUUCAUAGUUAAUUAAUAAAAUAAGAUUUAAUUAAUUAAUAAUGUAUUUAAUUAAAUAAGACGCAAUCUGAUAGGAUAAUUAAUUAGAUAUAAUUUAAUUAAUUAUCUAUAUAUAUCUUGUAACAUAAUUAUCUAUAGAUUUAAAUCAAAUAAGAUUUGAUAAGAUAAUUAUGUAUAUCAAAUAAAAUUUGAUAAAGAUAAUAUUUAAUUGGGAUUUGGAUAAAAUCGCUCUCCUAUAUAUACGAGAGAGCUGAAACUAACGCACUACAUGAAAUUUCAUUACUCAUUAUUGAGAAAAAAGUGUGUCACACCAAAUCCUUACUUGUUUACCAUCAGCUAGCACCGAGAUCCCGCUUCGAUUGUUGCUCACAUGGACUAAGUAAAGGCAUUGUAUUUUCGACGUUUGGUGAUCCAAGAACAACCUCUUGUUUUUGAAAGCAAGUUAUAAAGGUAACAUUCAAACCCUUAUUGACUCUUGCAUAAUGCGUGGUUCAUAAGAUGAAGUUCUUUCUUCUAUGGUCUCUAUGAAAAAUUUAAAAUUAUAGACCAUGAAACCCCAACAACCUUAACCUUCACUUAGGCACCUAAAGUUGAUCACCUUGACCAUCUCUAAAGCCACUAGUGUCAUAUGUCACCUAAACAUCAUUCUCUUACUCUUGACUACUCACUAGAAUCUCACUUCAUUGUUACAUUGGAUGGAAAUGUGUAUAACCAUUUUAUUUUUCUAAACUACCCAAUUAGGGUUCACAUCACCUCUCUAACAGACAUAACAUCUUUUUACAAUGUAAUUACACAACAUCCCUAAGUCAAACUCAUCCAUACAUAUAACCUAAACAAAUUCCAAUCAAGGAAAAAGGAAUAAAGCUGAACUUUUAAGGCAAGUAAUAACUAGAAAUUUAUAACAAAACUCAAUUCAAAUAAAGUCAUCUCAUACAAGUACAUCAAUGAAGACUAGCAGACCAUGAUAUCACAAUUCAAUCACUAAACAUCAUCAUGUGAACCCAAACAUCAACUAUCAAAAGUCAUCAUCAUAACAUCUGACUUAGACAAUGUUAUCAACAACAAACUCUACUCCAUGAGCUUCAUACCUUUACACUCUCUGAUCAUUCAGGGAGUCUCUUGGGCUGACCCUAUGAGGGAAGUGCAGUUUUAUUAAAAAUAGACAAGUGUGAGUAUUGCCUUACCUCUGUAGGUUUGCUAGACCUAACAUCUAUUGGGAUUCAUUCUCUCGUCUGUUCUAUAGGUUGAUUCUAGUUAGUCAUCACAAAAACCCCUAACAUUAGGUUGAGAGCCCACAUAGCACCUUCAACUUAUGUGCUUCCUCACCACACUUGGAAUCCCCUGUGGUCCUAAAUACGAUACCUCCAUACUUGUAAGCUACAAUGGCCUAACUUGAGGGUCUAAGUCUCAACAACAACAACCCAUCCCAUAUAUGCCAAAAGAGUCAACGAAGACUUUUGGGAAAACAAUUUUCACCACUCUAACACACCAUUCAAAGUUAAAAACAAAGGAGCAGGUACUCGGGAAGAUAUCCAACCAAACGAGACACUCACAUCAUAUAUAUCAUCAUCUCAUCAAUAACAUGCUACAUUUAAAUAAUUAUAGAAUUUUCAAUACAUUCAAGUUCUCCUUAACAAGAUAUUACAUUUCAAGAAUCAUUCAACCAUUUCAACAAUAAAGUACUACAUAUCUUAUAGAUAAAUUUACUACGUAUAUUUCAACAUUUAUAGGGUUCAUAAUUACAUUCAUCUUUUCAUGGCAAUAUCACAAACAAAAAAAUAACCCUCAUAAAAACAAUUUUACUCCUAUAUAGCUCAUAAAAUAAUUAUAUAUGCAAUUGGAAUUGGUUUGGAAACUCUUAACAAAGUAUUCAUGAUAAAACACUAUGUCUAAAUUUGGCUUAUCCAUAAGUUGUGGCUUAGCCAAUUUUCUCCAGACUUGUAUUUUGUCUAAAAUUUGGCUUAGCCGCUAUUGUCUCUUAGCCAAUUCUCUAGACUUGCAUAUUUGACACCUAUCCUGAAAUUCGCUUAGCCAAAAUAUUUAACUUCGACAAAAUCUGUGUUUCCUACAACAUGAGUUCCUUGUGAAUUCAAGCUCUCAACACCAUUAAUGGCUAUCCAGAAACUCAAAAUAAACACACAAAUAAUCAUCCCUAGUGCUUCCUAACACUAAACCUCAACAAAAAAACUCCAAAUCAAAGAAAAACAACACAAAAUCAUCAUUCUCUAUAAGCUCCAUGAAUAAUGUAUGAAAACAGAGAAGGGAGGAAUCAAGGAAAACUAUCAAUGAAAUACUCUGAGAAAAUGGAAAAGGGGAAGCACUCACACUCAGGGGUCUUAGAUUUGAGCUCCAACAUUGAGUCUUUAAUCUCUUCUCUAUUUCUCUCUUUUUCUCUUUUUCCUUAUCCUCCUAUCUAUCUUCCUUUACAUCUUUUUUUUCCUUUUCUCUCCCACUCUCUCUUCUCCUUUUCUCUUAAAGCAUGUGCGUGUGUGGGCUUUGUGGGCCUUGGCUCCCAUCUAGAUCCUAUUAUUGUAUUAUUUCAACUCCUAAUAAAAGGUAAUUGUUAUUAAUAAUGAUUAAAAAAAUCCUUUAACCAUUAAAUAUUGAAGUUAUUCCAUAAAAGAUGCCUCUUUAUUAUUUAUUUCAAAGGUCUAUAAAUUGGGGAUGUUAUAGUCUUUAUUUUUAAUUAGCAAAUGUUAGUUUUUGUUAACAGAAGGAAUUGAAAUCAUGACCUUGCCCUCCUUUCCUUCUCCAUUAACCAUCAAUCCACCUUAUAUCUCUAGGAUGUUAGAAUCUUGCUUUGAAUGUAAGCUCAAUUUCAUUUUUUUCUACCAUCAUCAUGUCUCGAACUUGGUACCCUUCAUUUUUUUUCUCAAGAAUUUGAUCCCUUUACAAUUUUAAUUAUACAAUUUUUCUCCAUCCGUUAACUUAACAUGCAGUCUAUUAAUAAAAUUGUUAACAUGACACUAUACUACACAUCCAUGUUACUGUAUGUUCCUACCAAAUUUGGAAGAAUCUUGUUACGAUGUUACUCCUCCUUGUACUCCUCCUAGUACGGUGGUGGGGUGUACAUGUGAAGAUACUUCGACACUCAAGUUAGAGGCACAAAGAUAGGAAACAUGUAUCAAUAGUGGAUUAGAAUUGAGUGAGUUACUUGGAACCCUUGUGACCUCUUUUACAAUGGUGAAAUUACAUCCAUAGGCCUAAUUUCUCUAAUUAGUUAGUGUUGAGAAGAUAAGAUUGAAUCUAAUCUUAUCUUAUUUGGUAACUAUGUGUCUGAUCUAUAGACAAUCUUAUCUUGAUUUUUUCUUUAUUUUUAUCUGACAAUCAAUGAAGAUAGACUUUCUCUCUUUCCUAAUUUAUCUCAAACGAGUCUCAUGGUGGCUAAGCAAGAUAUCUACUUGGCUGACCAUCGAAUAUAGAGGUUUGUUAAGUUUGAGUAGUACACCAAAUCCAUGUAAACAUUUUACUACCAUGCCAUUAUUUUCAUUAAAUAUUAGAUGUCAAGUUAAUGAAUGAACUAUAAUUCUACAAUUAAAAUACUGAGAGAGGGAUUAAAUUUGAAAAGAAAAAAUAGGAGAGCAAAAUUGAGAAAUGUUGAUGAUGAGGGGAAGUAAAUAUCAAGUCUUCAGUUUUGUUAAACAAAAAAAAAACAAAUAGAAAUGCAACGUAUCCAAUUUCAAAGCAUAAUAAUUUAUUAUUAUAUAAUAAAUUUUUUACAUUUUUAAAUAUGAAACAAGAUUUUAAAUAGACUAAUGAGCCUAGACAAACUUGUAUAAAGGUCAGACCCAAGCCUAAAAACAGGCUUGCGAUAGAUAACAAACUCAAGUUUGAGUUAUAGAAAUAUAAAGUAGGUUAGGCCAAGCUUAGGUAGGAUUUGUCUUGGUCCAACCCAUUGCACCCCUACAUAUGAUGUGAUCAUACAAAAAAAAUAUGAUAUAGGAAAGUUGUGCAUAAAAAGAUAUUGGAGUGACAUUUAUUAAGGAAAAAGUGAUUAAAAUAAAAAUAACUAAGAUGGUUUAAAUAAUAAUAAAAAGAUCAUUAGAGACACCAAUGAAAAAAAAGUAAAUUAUACUUCUUUCAUUCUUAUUUAUAAGACCAGAGUUUUAAAAGAAAAAAUAUCUGUUUUUAUAAUAUUUUAUUUCAAUUAUCUUGUAUAUUAAUUAUUUUCUUACUAAUUUUUUUUUACUAGAAAGAUCAUUAGGGAGUUUAGUUUUUAGCAUAUGAAAAGGGGCGGAGAAACAAGUAAGAUUGAAGAAAAUUAUUGAAAAAUAAUCUUAUAGAAAAUAAUAUUUUUAAAAAAAUUUCCAUUUUUAAUGAAAUUCAAACAUGAUUAAUAGAGUAAACUUUAUCAUAAGUCUAUAGUUAUUGUUGUUUUAAAAUUAGAUAGAACUAUUUUUCAUAAAAUUAAUCUUAAACUUUAAACAUAUUUAUAAUAUGAAUUUAAAUUAUAAAUUUACAUUCAAAGGUAUAUUUUUUCUUUUAUAAAAAAGCAUAAGAAUUGAUUUUAUUUUCUUAAUCCUAAAAUAAACAGCUUGUUAACCGCCGACUUAUGCUGGUCCAGUACAAACCGACCGGACCAGUAGAUAAUUACGAUGAAGAACAUAACCCCACAUUGGAUACCUCUUCUGCAUUUACAAGCACAGCCAAGCCCUAAAAUUGCACCUGUUUGCCUCCAACGCGCACAACACACACAGCAACUCUGGCAAAACACUAAGAGUGGCGUGACAGACAUUAAAUUCAAUUCCUCUCUCUCUCCAGCAAGCAAAGGCCGCACGCACCAGACGAAAUUUCCAAAACUGGCGCAUAUCAUUUACAAAAUUUGCAGCGUGGCACUAUUUAUAGUGGGGUAAACUUAUUUAAUUAUAAAAAGAAAAUCAUUAAAAUAAGGAUUUGAAUUACCCUAAAGUAUAUCCGGUGGAAGUAAUUACAUGACUUGUUUAACUUUUUUUUAUUUUUUUUUAUGCUGAGUUGCUUAAGUUCAAGCAAACGUUACAUGAUUUUCUAUUUUAUUUUUCAGUUGAGUAUAUGAUAUAAAAUUAUUUAUAUAAGUUGUUAUUUAUAUAAAUAAUCACUGUUGAAUAAUAUUUAUAUUAUAAAUAACAUAUAUUUUUUAAUCAUUAUAAAACUCGUAAAAUUAAGUUAAAUAUUGACUUUAACAAUUUUAGCAUUAAAAUAAAUUUUUGUAUAGGUUUUAAAUUUAUGUGAAAUUAUAAGCUUAUAAUAUUAAAAUAAGUAACUCAUCUAAGAAAUUAUAUAUUUUAGUCUAAUUAAUUUAUAUUUUAUAUUAAAUUAUUAAAUGAUGUAAUACUUAUUUAAGGUACAUUGUAAUUUGUUUGUUUCUCAUAUAUAAUAUAUAAUAUAAUAAAUUUUACUCAAUAAAAAUUUGACUUAAUUGUAGUUUGGUCUUUAAAUAUUGUAAUUGUGCUAAUCUGAUUUCUAAUUGCACAAACUGAAUCCCAUAAGUCAAUAAAUAAGUCGGUCAUAUGAUUUUUUUGGUAUUCAUGAUAUUGACUUAAAGUAUUCAUUAAUAAUUUUGUUAAUGAUUAAUUUUUUAUGAAAAUCAAUCAAUUAUUUUUAAUGAAUCUUUUUUUUCAAUUAUAUUUUUUUAUCCAUAAAAUUUAAAUUUAAAACUUAAGAGAUUCGAGCUUAGUAUUUUCGACUAAUAAUUUAUUGGUUUAAUUAUUCAGUUAUAAUCUUUCUAUUAGUGUUAUGUUUUUUUUUUUUAAAUACUAACUUAAUUAACUUGAUGAUGGAUGAUGAUAUAUCAAUGACACAGAUAUAUUAUCUUAUGCAUAUGUUGAUGUGGCUUAUGAUGUAAUUAAGUCACAUCAAUAUAUUAUUAGAUUCAGAUAGCACGUUAAUUAAGAUCUGAUAAAAUAUUUAAUAAAACAUUAAAAGUAAAUAAUAAUCGCUAAACAUCAUCAAAAUAUUAAUCAUUAGAUUCAAUUUUUGCAAUUAAAACCAGAAGAACUAAAUCAUACAAUUACAAUACUUAAAAUAAAAAAAAAUUAAACUUAAAUGUUAUAUUUAAAAAAAGGACGAAACUUAAAACUUAAAUACAAUUGUAUGAUUAAUUUUAGUAUUGUCUUUAAUGAGAAUUAAAGUUUUAUUCACUAAUUUAUGUAAUAAAACAUUUCAAUAAGUGAGGUAAAACUCCAAUUGAUUGAAGAAUACCACCAACACCAACACCACCACCACCUGCGAAACUGUAUCUCAAUUGUCCUUAAUAAAAAUGUUAAAUAGUACAUUAUUCUCCUUGCCUGUCAUUAUUUAUGUGCCCCCACUUUAAUUUUUCUGAUGUACUUAACCCAGGGCAAACUGAAACAUGUUCCUCAUGCAAAGCCCCAACUCAUCAUGCAUCAUGUACGUGUCAUCAUCCAGCAACUCCACUUUUGCUAUAUAACACCACCCCCAUCACACUCCCCAUCUCUAACACACACAUACCCCCAACUAACAAUAAUUCCUUCACUUGCAGAACUUAGUUCUCUGUUGCAUCAUCAUCAUCUUCAUUAGUGUUAGCCCUAAACUUCACCUUCAACCAUGACCACAGUGCCACCACACAGUGUCCAAGUGCACACAACAACACACCGCUACGAAGCCGGCGUCGUCCCGCCGGCUCGUUUUGAGGCGCCGCGUUACGAAGCCGGCAUCAAGGCGCCCUCUUCCAUUUACCAUUCCGAGAGAGGUCCGACGACCUCUCAGGUUCUCGCAGUUGUCGCCGGCCUUCCGGUCGGCGGCAUCCUCCUGCUCCUGGCAGGACUGACCCUGGCUGGAACUCUCACCGGGCUGGUGGUGGCAACACCGCUCUUCAUCAUCUUCAGCCCGGUGCUGAUUCCGGCCACGGUCGCAAUUGGCCUGGCCGUGGCCGGGUUCCUGACGUCGGGAGUCUUUGGGCUCACGGCGCUGUCGUCCUUCUCCUGGAUCCUGAACUACAUCCGGGAGACCCAGCCGGCGUCGGAGAAUCUGGCCGCUGCGGCGAAGCACCAUCUGGCGGAGGCGGCGGAGUACGUGGGGCAGAAGACCAAAGAAGUAGGGCAGAAAACCAAGGAAGUUGGGCAGGAUAUUCAGAGCAAGGCACAAGAUACAAGGGAAGCAGCUGCAAGAGAUGCAAGAGAUGCAAGGGAAGCAGCUGCAAGAGAUGCAAGGGAUGCAAAGGUGGAGGCGAGAGAUGUAAAGAGAACAACAGUGACAGCAACAACCGCAACCGCAUGAACGUGAUGAGUAUUAAUGUGUUGUUAUGAACUUAUGAUGUUGGUUUAUGUGGGGAAAUAAAUGAUGUAUGUACCUCUUCUUGCCUAUGUAGUAGGUUUGGGUGUUUUGUUGUCUAGCUUUGCUUAUUUAGUAAUUAGUAGAAGGGACGUUCGUUCGUGUCUCAUAAAAAGGGGUACUACCACUCUGGCAAUGUGAUUUGUAUUUGAUGAAUUCAAUGUGAAAUGUGUUUUGCGUUGGUGUAUGUAAUUUCUCGUCCAAUGUGCUUUUAGAACAACGUACGGUGAAAUUUAAGCUGUGCAUUGUUGAUAAUUCUUCGUUCAAAAUCAAAUUGCUAGCAAAUUUUAACUAACAUGAAAUUUUGUCAACAGUACAGCACUCAUUAACCAAGUUCCAAACUAAGAUGCGCCAUUAACAUCAACCAAUAGCAUUUUUCAGCAUAAGGAGGCUUUGACAUGCAAAAAUAUCUUAAUAUAUAGAUAAGCAUGUGAAGUAGGAAAUUAACUUGUUAAGAUUUGUUUCGCUUUUUCUUCAAUGAAAACAGUUCUUAUAUGUAUAAGAAAAAAAAUAAAUGAGUUUUCCUAUAAUUUUAAAUUAACUUAUACACAGGCUAGCCUUUAAAAAAAAAACCUAUACACAGGCUAAGUUUUAGAAGUUUUCUAGAAAUUAUGACAAUAAGCUUUGUUUAAAAAAAUAAUUAAAAUAAGCUAUUUUUAAAUUUUAGAAGCCCAUUUUAUUUUUUCUUGUUUUUCUCCUUUAUUUUCUUCUUUCUCAGAAAGAAACCAUCGUCAAAACUCAAAAGGCCUUCUCUGACGCAAGAUACCCUCUGCUGUGUGGGUUAUAAUAAAUUUUUUCUCUCCCGUUUAGUAAAAAAGUAACACUAUCUAACAAAAUGACGACGUGAGCUUGUUAAAACGUCUUUAACAUGUGUAAGACCUUAAUGUUACUAGGGGGAAAAAAAUAAUUGUCUAACCAAUAAAGAACAUUCUCAAUGUAGCUAAAACUUCAACAUAAAUUGCAUUCGGUGAUGGGAUUUACAAUUGAAUUGAAUUGACAAACAUCCUGGAGCAUCAUCAAAAUUUUCAAGAAAUGUAUCAAAACUAUGUAGCUUACCAAAUUCCCAAGUUAGUCAAUUUUUUUUUUCUGAAGUGCGUUAGUUAAAUUCUUGAUACAACAACAAAAACAAAGUUGUGGCUGGGCUGGGACAGGAAGAGCAUAUUUAAUUCAAUGUUGGGGUUAAGGUCCAGCUUCAGCAUCUGUGCCACCAUUAUUUAGCUUUGAAUCAUUAUUGGGUAUCCAAAACGUGAGAACACUUGAAGCUGCAGCGAACAUGGCCUUGUGAGGGGCCCACUUCAAGCACGAAGGAACACCAAUAUGGCUGGUCCAACAUGCCACCUGCAGGGAAGAAAACCAGAGGCUCAUCAUCGCAAAAAUUUUGCGCUAUUACAUUGACAAAAUAUAAAAUAUUGGUUAAAAUAUGACUUUUUCUUUUAAUCUUUUAUUAAAAUUUCAUUUAUUUUUAGGUCUUAAAAUUAAAAGUUAGGUACUUUUAAUCCUUGAUGAGUGACACCAUAUUUUUGUUGAAAUGCAGAGAUUAAAACGAUUUUUUUUAUAUAACAUUAAAACUAAAAACGAG